RNAcentral lists this ribosomal RNA (423 nucleotides) under uncultured Oscillospiraceae bacterium. Its description in RNAcentral is "bacterial SSU rRNA". It matches the Rfam family "Bacterial small subunit ribosomal RNA", at positions 355 to 794 of the family's 1533-position model. The record is from RNAcentral. Lineage: Bacteria; Bacillati; Bacillota; Clostridia; Eubacteriales; Oscillospiraceae.
UGGGGAAUAUUGGGCAAUGGGCGAAAGCCUGACCCAGCAACGCCGCGUGAAGGAAGAAGGUUUUCGGAUUGUAAACUUCUUUUAUCAGGGACGAAGAAAGUGACGGUACCUGAUGAAUAAGCCACGGCUAACUACGUGCCAGCAGCCGCGGUAAUACGUAGGUGGCAAGCGUUAUCCGGAUUUAUUGGGUUUAAAGGGUGCGCAGGCGGCGGAUCAAGUCAGCGGUCAAACUUCGGGGCUCAACCCCGUUUUGCCGUUGAAACUGAUCGGCUGGAGUCUGUUCGAGGGACGCGGAAUGCGAGGUGUAGCGGUGAAAUGCAUAGAUAUCACGCAGAACUCCGAUUGCGAAGGCAGCGUCCCGGGGCGCACUGACGCUGAGGCACGAAAGUGUGGGUAUCGAACAGGAUUAGAUACCCUGGUAGU